Molecule: unclassified non-coding RNA, 386 nt
Filed under: soil metagenome
Description: partial contains 5.8S ribosomal RNA, internal transcribed spacer 2, and large subunit ribosomal RNA
Rfam family: 5.8S ribosomal RNA (bases 1-122)
Source: RNAcentral
GAUGAAGAACGUAGCGAAAUGCGAUAAGUAAUGUGAAUUGCAGAAUUCAGUGAAUCAUCGAAUCUUUGAACGCACCUUGCACCCUUUGGACUGCUCCAAAGGGUAUGCUCGUUUGAGUGUCAUUGUACUCUCACACUCUCUGAUCCUUUGGAUUUGGGGAGCAGUGGACUUGGGUGCUUGCUGCUUCCUUGUGGCUCACCUGAAAUGCAUCAGUGCAUCUCUCGAUUGGACAUAGUACGGCGUGAUAAGUGUCUUCGCCGGCACCUCAUAUGAGGGUGGCCGAUCGGGAGCUCUGUGCUUUCAAACCGUCUUCGGACAACGCUGACAACUUGACCUCAAAUCGAGUAGGACUACCCGCUGAACUUAAGCAUAUCAAUAAGCGGAGA